RNAcentral lists this ribosomal RNA (301 nucleotides) under uncultured bacterium. RNAcentral's name for it is "partial 16S ribosomal RNA". It matches the Rfam family "Bacterial small subunit ribosomal RNA", at positions 509 to 809 of the family's 1533-position model. The record is from RNAcentral.
CAGCCCACGGUAAAACGGAGGGUGCAAGCGUUAAUCGGAAUUACUGGGCGUAAAGCGCACGCAGGCGGUCUGUUAAGUCAGAUGUGAAAUCCCCGGGCUCAACCCGGGAACUGCAUUUGAAACUGGCAGGCUUGAGUCUUGUAGAGGGGGGUAGAAUUCCAGGUGUAGCGGUGAAAUGCGUAGAGAUCUGGAGGAAUACCGGUGGCGAAGGCGGCCCCCUGGACAAAGACUGACGCUCAGGUGCGAAAGCGUGGGGAGCAAACAGGAUUAGAUACCCCAGUAGUCCCUGUCUCUUAUACAC